Molecule: unclassified non-coding RNA, 547 nt
Filed under: Hevea brasiliensis (rubber tree)
Lineage: Eukaryota; Viridiplantae; Streptophyta; Magnoliopsida; Malpighiales; Euphorbiaceae
Source: RNAcentral
UUUUUGCCAAUUAUUUUUCAAUUCAUGGGGCCACUGACAAAUGAGGUUUACAUCCAGUCUGACAGAAUUACUCUACUUUUUGCAAAAUGUCCAUGUUCAUAAUAGUUGAACUGUUGAGAAGAUUUACUAAUUAUGCUCGACUGUACAUAAGCUUAAUAUGCCUAAUUUACUAUGUAUGUGAUAUCUGAACUUCCUCAACUUAUUGUGAGUGCAUAGUUCAAGGGAAAACAAUCAUGCAUCCAUUAUAGGGGAAAAUGAAAGUUUCCCCCUCUUACAAUCCAUUGUGCUGGUUAUUUAUCAUAGAUGGCAUCUAUUUAUGUCUUGUUUUUCCAAGUUGGUGACAAUAAGUGCAUAUGUUUCAUCUGAAAAUCUCAUACCUUUCCAGCAUUGCAUCAAUUCAAAAAACCUUAUAUAUUUAUUCUUUGACACUACUAGGUAGUUAUGAUAUUGGUUUUCUGAAUUGGAUUGCAGGUUUGCCCCAUGAAGUGUUUAUAGACCCUGCAUCUAGUGUUUUUUCUUCUUUCCACUUAGUUUGAUGAUAGGUAAA